Molecule: ribosomal RNA, 487 nt
Filed under: uncultured bacterium
Lineage: Bacteria
Description: bacterial SSU rRNA
Rfam family: Bacterial small subunit ribosomal RNA
Source: RNAcentral
GAUGAACGCUGGCGGCGUGCCUAAUACAUGCAAGUCGAGCGAGAAAUGUCCGAUUGAAACUUCGGUAGAUUUCGGACAUGGAAAGCGGCGGACGGGUGAGUAACGCGUAGGCAACCUGCCCCUUGCACAGGGAUAGCCACUGGAAACGGUGAUUAAUACCUGAUAAUGCAUUCCUAUCGCCUGUUAGGGAUGCCAAAGAUUUAUUGGCAAGGGAUGGGCCUGCGUCUGAUUAGCUUGUUGGUGGGGUAACGGCUCACCAAGGCGACGAUCAGUAGCCGACCUGAGAGGGUGAUCGGCCACAUUGGAACUGAGACACGGUCCAAACUCCUACGGGAGGCAGCAGUAGGGAAUCUUGCACAAUGGGCGAAAGCCUGAUGCAGCAACGCCGCGUGAGCGAUGAAGGCCCUUGGGUCGUAAAGCUCUGUCCUAUGGGAAGAAACAAAUGACGGUACCAUUGGAGGAAGCCCCCGGGCUAACUACGUGCCAG